This 119-nucleotide ribosomal RNA is filed under the name Pteropus alecto (black flying fox). The record is from RNAcentral. Lineage: Eukaryota; Metazoa; Chordata; Mammalia; Chiroptera; Pteropodidae.
GUCUAUGGCCAUGCUACUCUGAACAAGCCUGAUUCUGUCUGAUCUCGGAAGCUAAGCAGGAUCAGGCUUGGUUAGUACUUGGAUAGGAAACCACCUAGGAAGACCAGGUGCUGUAGGCA